AGCUUGCUGGGUGGAUCAGUGGCGAACGGGUGAGUAACACGUGAGCAAUCUGCCCUUGACUCUGGGAUAAGCGCUGGAAACGGCGUCUAAUACUGGAUAUGAGCUGUGGCCGCAUGGUCGGCAGUUGGAAAGAAUUUCGGUCAAGGAUGAGCUCGCGGCCUAUCAGCUUGUUGGUGAGGUAAUGGCUCACCAAGGCGUCGACGGGUAGCCGGCCUGAGAGGGUGACCGGCCACACUGGGACUGAGACACGGCCCAGACUCCUACGGGAGGCAGCAGUGGGGAAUAUUGCACAAUGGGCGCAAGCCUGAUGCAGCAACGCCGCGUGAGGGAUGACGGCCUUCGGGUUGUAAACCUCUUUUAGCAGGGAAGAAGCGAAAGUGACGGUACCUGCAGAAAAAGCACCGGCUAACUACGUGCCAGCAGCCGCGGUAAUACGUAGGGUGCAAGCGUUAUCCGGAAUUAUUGGGCGUAAAGAGCUCGUAGGCGGUUUGUCGCGUCUGCUGUGAAAACUGGAGGCUCAACCUCCAGCCUGCAGUGGGUACGGGCAGACUAGAGUGCGGUAGGGGAGAUUGGAAUUCCUGGUGUAGCGGUGGAAUGCGCAGAUAUCAGGAGGAACACCGAUGGCGAAGGCAGAUCUCUGGGCCGUAACUGACGCUGAGGAGCGAAAGGGUGGGGAGCAAACAGGCUUAGAUACCCUGGUAGUCCACCCCGUAAACGUUGGGAACUAGUUGUGGGGUCCAUUCCACGGAUUCCGUGACGCAGCUAACGCAUUAAGUUCCCCGCCUGGGGAGUACGGCCGCAAGGCUAAAACUCAAAGGAAUUGACGGGGACCCGCACAAGCGGCGGAGCAUGCGGAUUAAUUCGAUGCAACGCGAAGAACCUUACCAAGGCUUGACAUAUACGAGAACGGGCCAGAAAUGGUCAACUCUUUGGACACUCGUAAACAGGUGGUGCAUGGUUGUCGUCAGCUCGUGUCGUGAGAUGUUGGGUUAAGUCCCGCAACGAGCGCAACCCUCGUUCUAUGUUGCCAGCACGUUAUGGUGGGAACUCAUGGGAUACUGCCGGGGUCAACUCGGAGGAAGGUGGGGAUGACGUCAAAUCAUCAUGCCCCUUAUGUCUUGGGCUUCACGCAUGCUACAAUGGCCGGUACAAAGGGCUGCAAUACCGUAAGGUGGAGCGAAUCCCAAAAAGCCGGUCCCAG
RNAcentral lists this ribosomal RNA (1201 nucleotides) under Microbacterium aurum. Its description in RNAcentral is "bacterial SSU rRNA". It matches the Rfam family "Bacterial small subunit ribosomal RNA", at positions 77 to 1291 of the family's 1533-position model. Lineage: Bacteria; Bacillati; Actinomycetota; Actinomycetes; Micrococcales; Microbacteriaceae. The record is from RNAcentral. RNAcentral also lists the same sequence under 1 other name.